AACGAACGCUGGCGGCAUGCCUAACACAUGCAAGUCGAACGAGACCUUCGGGUCUAGUGGCGCACGGGUGCGUAACGCGUGGGAACCUGCCCUUAGGUUCGGAAUAACUCCCCGAAAGGGGUGCUAAUACCGGAUAAUGUCUUCGGACCAAAGAUUUAUCGCCUUUGGAUGGGCCCGCGUUGGAUUAGCUAGUUGGUAGGGUAAAAGCCUGCCAAGGCGACGAUCCAUAGCUGGUCUGAGAGGAUGAUCAGCCACGCUGGGACUGAGACACGGCCCAGACUCCUACGGGAGGCAGCAGUGGAGAAUAUUGGACGAUGGGCGAAAGCCUGAUCAAGCAAUGCCGCGUGAGUGAUGAAGGCCUUAGGGUUGUAAAGCUCUUUUACCCGGGAUGAUAAUGACGGUACCGGGAGAAUAAGCUCCGGCUAACUCCGUG
This 433-nucleotide ribosomal RNA is filed under the name uncultured bacterium. Its description in RNAcentral is "partial 16S ribosomal RNA". It matches the Rfam family "Bacterial small subunit ribosomal RNA", at positions 29 to 507 of the family's 1533-position model. The record is from RNAcentral.